GCCCUUAUAGCUCAGUGGUAGAGCGCGUCACUAGUACUUCCCAAGGUAUGACGAGGCCCGUCGUUCGAAUCGGCGUAAGGGCU
This 83-nucleotide transfer RNA is filed under the name Venturia inaequalis. RNAcentral describes it as "tRNA-Thr". It matches the Rfam family "tRNA". Rfam says of the family: Transfer RNA (tRNA) molecules are approximately 80 nucleotides in length. The record is from RNAcentral. Lineage: Eukaryota; Fungi; Ascomycota; Dothideomycetes; Venturiales; Venturiaceae.